UUGCCCUACGGGAGGCAGCAGUGGGGAAUUUUGGACAAUGGGCGCAAGCCUGAUCCAGCUAUUCCGCGUGUGGGAUGAAGGCCCUCGGGUUGUAAACCACUUUUGUAGAGAACGAAAAGACACCUUCGAAUAAAGGGUGUUGCUGACGGUACUCUAAGAAUAAGCACCGGCUAACUACGUGCCAGCAGCCGCGGUAAUACGUAGGGUGCGAGCGUUAAUCGGAAUUACUGGGUGUAAAGGGUGCGCAGGCGGUUGAGCAAAGCAGAUGUGAAAUCGCCGAGCUUAACUCGGG
Molecule: ribosomal RNA, 292 nt
Filed under: uncultured bacterium
Lineage: Bacteria
Description: partial 16S ribosomal RNA
Rfam family: Bacterial small subunit ribosomal RNA
Source: RNAcentral